GACGAACGCUGGCGGCGUGCUUAACACAUGCAAGUCGAGCGGUAAGGCCCUUUCGGGGGUACACGAGCGGCGAACGGGUGAGUAACACGUGGGUGACCUGCCCUCAGCUCUGGGAUAAGCCUGGGAAACCGGGUCUAAUACUGGAUAUGACUCCAUGACGCAUGUUGUGGGGUGGAAAGCCUUGUGCGGCUGAGGAUGGGCCCGCGGCCUAUCGAGCUUGUUGGUGGGGUGANGGCCUACCAAGGCGACGACGGGUAGCCGGCCUGAGAGGGCGACCGGCCACACUGGGA
RNAcentral lists this ribosomal RNA (290 nucleotides) under uncultured bacterium. RNAcentral describes it as "partial 16S ribosomal RNA". It matches the Rfam family "Bacterial small subunit ribosomal RNA", at positions 28 to 318 of the family's 1533-position model. The record is from RNAcentral.